Molecule: transfer RNA, 67 nt
Filed under: Ichneutes sp. QL-2013
Lineage: Eukaryota; Metazoa; Arthropoda; Insecta; Hymenoptera; Braconidae
Description: tRNA-Asp
Source: RNAcentral
AAAAAAUUAGUUAAUUUAUAAUAUUAAAAUGUCAUUUUAAAGUUAUUAUUAAAAAUAAUAUUUUUUA